This 450-nucleotide ribosomal RNA is filed under the name uncultured bacterium. RNAcentral describes it as "partial 16S ribosomal RNA". It matches the Rfam family "Bacterial small subunit ribosomal RNA", at positions 354 to 796 of the family's 1533-position model. The record is from RNAcentral.
GUGGGGAAUAUUGGACAAUGGGCGAAAGCCUGAUCCAGCCAUGCCGCGUGUGUGAAGAAGGUCUUCGGAUUGUAAAGCACUUUAAGUUGGGAGGAAGGGCAGUAAGUUAAUACCUUGCUGUUUUGACGUUACCGACAGAAUAAGCACCGGCUAACUUCGUGCCAGCAGCCGCGGUAAUACGAAGGGUGCAAGCGUUAAUCGGAAUUACUGGGCGUAAAGCGCGCGUAGGUGGUUCAGCAAGUUGGAGGUGAAAUCCCCGGGCUCAACCUGGGAACUGCCUCCAAAACUACUGAGCUAGAGUACGGUAGAGGGUAGUGGAAUUUCAUGUGUAGCGGUGAGAUGCGUAGAUAUAGGAAGGAACACCAGUGGCGAAGGCGACUACCUGGACUGAUACUGACACUGAGGUGCGAAAGCGUGGGGAGCAAACAGGAUUAGAAACCCGAGUAGUCC